Molecule: ribosomal RNA, 444 nt
Filed under: uncultured bacterium
Lineage: Bacteria
Description: bacterial SSU rRNA
Rfam family: Bacterial small subunit ribosomal RNA
Source: RNAcentral
AGAGUUUGAUCCUGGCUCAGAUUGAACGCUGGCGGCAUGCCUUACACAUGCAAGUCGAACGGCAGCGCGGGGCAACCUGGCGGCGAGUGGCGAACGGGUGAGUAAUAUAUCGGAACGUGCCCUGGAGUGGGGGGUAACGCAGCGAAAGUUGCGCUAAUACCGCGUACGAUCUAAGGAUGAAAGCAGGGGACCGCAAGGCCUUGUGCUCCUGGAGCGGCCGAUAUCUGAUUAGCUAGUUGGUGGGGUAAAGGCCUACCAAGGCAUCGAUCAGUAGCUGGUCUGAGAGGACGACCAGCCACACUGGAACUGAGACACGGUCCAGACUCCUACGGGAGGCAGCAGUGGGGAAUUUUGGACAAUGGGCGGAAGCCUGAUCCAGCCAUGCCGCGUGCAGGAUGAAGGCCUUCGGGUUUAAACUGCUUUUGUACGGAACGAAAAGACUCC